AGGUUAUUCGAUUAGUGGUAAAAUCAUGGAUCUUACACAUCCAAGCCGUAGGUUCAAUUCCUACAUGACCUA
The sequence is a transfer RNA, 72 nucleotides long. It matches the Rfam family "tRNA". From Rfam's summary of the family: Transfer RNA (tRNA) molecules are approximately 80 nucleotides in length. Their secondary structure includes four short double-helical elements and three loops (D, anti-codon, and T loops). Further hydrogen bonds mediate the characteristic L-shaped molecular structure. tRNAs have two regions of fundamental functional importance: the anti-codon, which is responsible for specific mRNA codon recognition, and the 3' end, to which the tRNAs corresponding amino acid is attached (by aminoacyl-tRNA synthetases). tRNAs cope with the degeneracy of the genetic code in two manners: having more than one tRNA (with a specific anti-codon) for a particular amino acid; and 'wobble' base-pairing, i.e. permitting non-standard base-pairing at the 3rd anti-codon position. The record is from Rfam.